UACGGGGGGGGCAAGCGUUGUUCGGAAUUACUGGGCGUAAAGGGCGCGUAGGCGGCCUUCUAAGUCGGACGUGAAAUCCCUCGGCUUAACCGAGGAACUGCGUCCGAUACUGAAAGGCUUGAAUCCGGGAGAGGGAUGUGGAAUUCCAGGUGUAGCGGUGAAAUGCGUAGAUAUCUGGAGGAACACCGGUGGCGAAGGCGGCAUCCUGGACCGGUAUUGACGCUGAGGCGCGAAAGCUAGGGGAGCAACGGG
RNAcentral lists this ribosomal RNA (252 nucleotides) under uncultured bacterium. RNAcentral describes it as "partial 16S ribosomal RNA". It matches the Rfam family "Bacterial small subunit ribosomal RNA", at positions 524 to 775 of the family's 1533-position model. The record is from RNAcentral.